ACUAGCAUGACCUAUUCAUGUCUCCUAAAAUCAUUGUCUUAAUCUUUGGGGUUCAUCAUAAUUUUAGAUAUAAUAAGAUGCAGCUAAUAUGAUGAAUCAAUACUUCAAAUAAUAAAUAUCAUUACAUGAGUUAGAAAAUCAUAAAAAAAAAAUCUCGUUGCAACACUUACGAUUGGCUUAUAGGGCACUCUUCUUUAAGCAUACUCACUGUGGGU
This 215-nucleotide long non-coding RNA is filed under the name Elaeis guineensis (African oil palm). Its description in RNAcentral is "long non-coding RNA (EGUI_LNC054408)". The record is from RNAcentral. Lineage: Eukaryota; Viridiplantae; Streptophyta; Magnoliopsida; Arecales; Arecaceae.